UCAUUUAUGGCUCGAAUAUAA
RNAcentral lists this non-coding RNA (21 nucleotides) under Caenorhabditis elegans. The record is from RNAcentral. Lineage: Eukaryota; Metazoa; Nematoda; Chromadorea; Rhabditida; Rhabditidae.